AUGGAUGGUUAGGUUGAUUGACCAUAGUCAGACUUGAUUAUUUGUUGGUUAGAUGGGGUGAGUAUGAUCAUAUUAAUAGUUAGACCUAACUAGGACUUUCGAUAGAGGUCCUAGCCUACUGAAAUAAAAUCUGGGAUAAAAUUAAUUACUAAAAAUUAUUUAAAAAAAUAAUUAAUUAAGAACCUAUCUAUAGAUGCACAUGAAUUGGCCGGCCA
This 215-nucleotide long non-coding RNA is filed under the name Elaeis guineensis (African oil palm). Its description in RNAcentral is "long non-coding RNA (EGUI_LNC016034)". Lineage: Eukaryota; Viridiplantae; Streptophyta; Magnoliopsida; Arecales; Arecaceae. The record is from RNAcentral.